AACGAACGCUGGCGGCAUGCCUAACACAUGCAAGUCGAACGAGACCUUCGGGUCUAGUGGCGCACGGGUGCGUAACGCGUGGGAACCUGCCUUUAGGUUCGGAAUAACUCAGAGAAAUUUGAGCUAAUACCGGAUGAUGUCUUCGGACCAAAGAUUUAUCGCCUUUAGAUGGGCCCGCGUUGGAUUAGCUAGUUGGUGGGGUAAAGGCCUACCAAGGCGACGAUCCAUAGCUGGUCUGAGAGGAUGCUCAGCCACACUGGGACUGAGACACGGCCCAGACUCCUACGGGAGGCAGCAGUGGGGAAUAUUGGACAAUGGGCGAAAGCCUGAUCCAGCAAUGCCGCGUGAGUGAUGAAGGCCUUAGGGUUGUAAAGCUCUUUUACCCGAGAUGAUAAUGACAGUAUCGGGAGAAUAAGCGCCGGCUAACUCCGUG
RNAcentral lists this ribosomal RNA (433 nucleotides) under uncultured bacterium. RNAcentral describes it as "partial 16S ribosomal RNA". It matches the Rfam family "Bacterial small subunit ribosomal RNA", at positions 29 to 507 of the family's 1533-position model. The record is from RNAcentral.